Molecule: transfer RNA, 71 nt
Filed under: Camelus dromedarius (Arabian camel)
Lineage: Eukaryota; Metazoa; Chordata; Mammalia; Artiodactyla; Camelidae
Also listed under: 1 other name
Rfam family: tRNA
About the family: Transfer RNA (tRNA) molecules are approximately 80 nucleotides in length. Their secondary structure includes four short double-helical elements and three loops (D, anti-codon, and T loops). Further hydrogen bonds mediate the characteristic L-shaped molecular structure. tRNAs have two regions of fundamental functional importance: the anti-codon, which is responsible for specific mRNA codon recognition, and the 3' end, to which the tRNAs corresponding amino acid is attached (by aminoacyl-tRNA synthetases). tRNAs cope with the degeneracy of the genetic code in two manners: having more than one tRNA (with a specific anti-codon) for a particular amino acid; and 'wobble' base-pairing, i.e. permitting non-standard base-pairing at the 3rd anti-codon position.
Source: Rfam by way of RNAcentral
AAGGGUAUAGCUCAGUGGUAGAGUGCAUGCAUAGCAUGCAUGAGGUCCUGGGUCAAUCCCCAGUACCUCCU